GAUGAAGAACGUAGCGAAAUGCGAAAAGUAAUGUGAAUUGCAGAAUUCAGUGAAUCAUCGAAUCUUUGAACGCACAUUGCGCCCGCUGGUACUCCGGCGGGCACGCCUGUCCGAGCGUCAUUUCAACCCUCAAGCCCUCCUUCGGGAUGGGCCUGGUGUUGGGGCUCGGCCGCCAUCUCCGGCGGCCGUCCCCUAAAUACAGUGGCGGUCACGUCGCGACUCCUUUGCGUAGUAGAAACACCUCGCUCCGGAUAGCAACGCGGUCCACGCCGUAAAACCCCCAAUUUUCAAUGGUUGACCUCGGAUCAGGUGGGAAUACCCGCUGAACUUAAGCAUAUAAUAAGCGGAGGA
Molecule: unclassified non-coding RNA, 351 nt
Filed under: soil metagenome
Description: partial contains 5.8S ribosomal RNA, internal transcribed spacer 2, and large subunit ribosomal RNA
Rfam family: 5.8S ribosomal RNA (bases 1-120)
Source: RNAcentral